AACGAACGCUGGCGGCAGGCUUAACACAUGCAAGUCGAACGGGUGUCGCAAGACAUCAGUGGCAGACGGGUGAGUAACACGUGGGAACCUUCCUAGGGGUACGGAACAACUCAGGGAAACUUGAGCUAAUACCGUAUACGUCCGUAAGGAGAAAGAUUCAUCGCCCCUAGACGGGCCCGCGUCGGAUUAGGUAGUUGGUGGGGUAACGGCCUACCAAGCCUACGAUCCGUAGCUGAUCUGAGAGGANGAUCAGCCACACUGGGACUGAGACACGGCCCAGACUCCUACGGGAGGCAGCAGUGGGGAAUCUUGGACAAUGGGCGCAAGCCUGAUCCAGCCAUGCCGCGUGAGUGAAGAAGGCCUUAGGGUUGUAAAGCUCUUUUACCAGGGACGAUAAUGACGGUACCUGGAGAAUAAGCCCCGGCAAACUUCGUGCCAGCAGCAGCCGCAGUAAG
Molecule: ribosomal RNA, 455 nt
Filed under: uncultured bacterium
Lineage: Bacteria
Description: bacterial SSU rRNA
Rfam family: Bacterial small subunit ribosomal RNA
Source: RNAcentral